Long non-coding RNA from Xenia sp. Carnegie-2017, 359 nucleotides. RefSeq lists it as uncharacterized. The transcript is spliced from 3 exons. NCBI's taxonomy places the organism in Eukaryota, Metazoa, Cnidaria, Anthozoa, Malacalcyonacea, Xeniidae. The record is from RefSeq and is a predicted model, not a curated record.
UAAACCCAAUGACCUGCGCAACUCCCCCUUAUUACAGGUAUCCUACAAGAAAGUAGGUUGGUAACGGCCAAUUUGAGCUUUAUUGCUUUUUCUGGUAUUAAUGAAACAUUCAUAGUUUUUGAGUUUAGAAUAAAGCCAAGAAAUACGAUAGUUUGUGUUGGUAUUAGCACCGAUUUUUAGGGUUCGUUCUCUUGAGAUUCCGCUAUUUUGUGCGUUGAUUUCCUCAGGCAACCGAGAAAUCAUUUUUUGAGGAGUCCCUUUGUCUUUUGUAAUAUUUAGUUUGUUCAUGCCAGUUUAAGUAUUUGCGUGAUUUGAAUAUAAUUUUAUGUAGUUAUCAUGAAAUAAAUGAUGUUUGAGGC